AUCCAGCUGACGAAUCCCAAACAGGACGAAACGCGCGUCAAACUGUAU
This 48-nucleotide non-coding RNA is filed under the name Schistosoma margrebowiei. Lineage: Eukaryota; Metazoa; Platyhelminthes; Trematoda; Strigeidida; Schistosomatidae. The record is from RNAcentral.